GUCGAGCGAACAGACGAGGAGCUUGCUCCCCUGACGUUAGCGGCGGACGGGUGAGUAACACGUGGAUAACCUACCUAUAAGACUGGGAUAACUUCGGGAAACCGGAGCUAAUACCGGAUAAUAUAUUGAACCGCAUGGUUCAAUAGUGAAAGACGGUUUUGCUGUCACUUAUAGAUGGAUCCGCGCCGCAUUAGCUAGUUGGUAAGGUAACGGCUUACCAAGGCAACGAUGCGUAGCCGACCUGAGAGGGUGAUCGGCCACACUGGAACUGAGACACGGUCCAGACUCCUACGGGAGGCAGCAGUAGGGAAUCUUCCGCAAUGGGCGAAAGCCUGACGGAGCAACGCCGCGUGAGUGAUGAAGGUCUUCGGAUCGUAAAACUCUGUUAUUAGGGAAGAACAAAUGUGUAAGUAACUAUGCACGUCUUGACGGUACCUAAUCAGAAAGCCACGGCUAACUACGUGCCAGCAGCCGCGGUAAUACGUAGGUGGCAAGCGUUAUCCGGAAUUAUUGGGCGUAAAGCGCGCAUAGGCGGUUUUUUAAGUCUGAUGUGAAAGCCCACGGCUCAACCGUGGAGGGUCAUUGGAAACUGGAAAACUUGAGUGCAGAAGAGGAAAGUGGAAUUCCAUGUGUAGCGGUGAAAUGCGCAGAGAUAUGGAGGAACACCAGUGGCGAAGGCGACUUUCUGGUCUGUAACUGACGCUGAUGUGCGAAAGCGUGGG
Molecule: ribosomal RNA, 722 nt
Filed under: uncultured Staphylococcus sp.
Lineage: Bacteria; Bacillati; Bacillota; Bacilli; Caryophanales; Staphylococcaceae
Description: bacterial SSU rRNA
Rfam family: Bacterial small subunit ribosomal RNA
Source: RNAcentral